GCUCCAGCACUCACCAUGUUCCAUACACACCUGCUGGUUUUGCUCUUAUCAGCUGCAUCAUGUAUCAACUGUAUUGAGCUGACUCAGCCCGGAUCCAUGGUUCUAACACCUGGUCAGUCGAUGUCCCUGACCUGUAAAGUUUCUGGAUAUUCAGUGACUGAUAGCAGCUACUGUACAGACUGGAUACGGCAGCCUGCAGGAAAAGCUCUGGAGUGGAUUGGAGAUAUAUGUGGUAAUGGUAACACUUACUACAGUGAUAAACUGAAAAGCAGGUUUCAGGUUUCUCGAGACACGUCCACCAGCACAGUGACCUUAAGAGGACAGAAUCUGCAGAUUGGAGACACAGCUGUGUAUUACUGUGCACGGCACUCACAGUGA
This is a non-coding RNA of Pygocentrus nattereri (red-bellied piranha), 378 nucleotides long. Lineage: Eukaryota; Metazoa; Chordata; Actinopteri; Characiformes; Serrasalmidae. The record is from the annotation of a RefSeq genome assembly.